This 783-nucleotide ribosomal RNA is filed under the name Zunongwangia profunda. RNAcentral describes it as "bacterial SSU rRNA". It matches the Rfam family "Bacterial small subunit ribosomal RNA", at positions 396 to 1178 of the family's 1533-position model. Lineage: Bacteria; Pseudomonadati; Bacteroidota; Flavobacteriia; Flavobacteriales; Flavobacteriaceae. The record is from RNAcentral.
GCCGCGUGCAGGAAGACUGCCCUAUGGGUUGUAAACUGCUUUUGUAUAGGAAGAAACCUUUCCUCGUGAGGAAAAUUGACGGUACUAUACGAAUAAGGAUCGGCUAACUCCGUGCCAGCAGCCGCGGUAAUACGGAGGAUCCAAGCGUUAUCCGGAAUCAUUGGGUUUAAAGGGUCCGUAGGCGGGUUUAUAAGUCAGUGGUGAAAGUCUGCAGCUUAACUGUAGAACUGCCAUUGAUACUGUAGAUCUUGAAUCAUUAUGAAGUGGUUAGAAUGUGUAGUGUAGCGGUGAAAUGCAUAGAUAUUACACAGAAUACCGAUUGCGAAGGCAGAUCACUAAUAAUGUAUUGACGCUGAUGGACGAAAGCGUAGGUAGCGAACAGGAUUAGAUACCCUGGUAGUCUACGCCGUAAACGAUGGUUACUAGCUGUCCGGCCUAAUUGAGGGCUGGGUGGUUAAGCGAAAGUGAUAAGUAACCCACCUGGGGAGUACGUUCGCAAGAAUGAAACUCAAAGGAAUUGACGGGGGCCCGCACAAGCGGUGGAGCAUGUGGUUUAAUUCGAUGAUACGCGAGGAACCUUACCAGGGCUUAAAUGCAGUCUGACGUACUUGGAAACAGGUAUUUCUUCGGACAGAUUGCAAGGUGCUGCAUGGUUGUCGUCAGCUCGUGCCGUGAGGUGUCAGGUUAAGUCCUAUAACGAGCGCAACCCCUGUGGUUAGUUGCCAGCACGUAAUGGUGGGAACUCUAGCCAGACUGCCGGUGCAAACCGUGAGGAAGGUGGGG